Molecule: ribosomal RNA, 429 nt
Filed under: Chloroflexota bacterium
Lineage: Bacteria; Bacillati; Chloroflexota
Description: Chloroflexi bacterium partial 16S ribosomal RNA
Rfam family: Bacterial small subunit ribosomal RNA
Source: RNAcentral
UGGGGAAUAUUGCACAAUGGGCGCAAGCCUGAUGCAGCCAUGCCGCGUGUAUGAAGAAGGCCUUCGGGUUGUAAAGUACUUUCAGCGGGGAGGAAGGGAGUAAAGUUAAUACCUUUGCUCAUUGACGUUACCCGCAGAAGAAGCACCGGCUAACUCCGUGCCAGCAGCCGCGGUAAUACGGAGGGUGCAAGCGUUAAUCGGAAUUACUGGGCGUAAAGCGCACGCAGGCGGUUUGUUAGGUCAGAUGUGAAAUCCCCGGGCUCAACCUGGGAACUGCAUCUGAUACUGGCAAGCUUGAGUCUCGUAGAGGGGGGUAGAAUUCCAGGUGUAGCGGUGAAAUGCGUAGAGAUCUGGAGGAAUACCGGUGGCGAAGGCGGCCCCCUGGACAAAGACUGACGCUCAGGUGCGAAAGCGUGGGGAGCAAACAGG